UUAAGCAUAUUACUAAGCGGAGGAAAAGAAACCAACGGGGAUUCCCAUAGUAACUGCGAGUGAAAUGGGAACAGCCCAGCGCCGAAUCCUGUUGCUGGCGACGGCGACAGGAACUGUGGCGUGAAGACGGUGUCUAUUGGUGUGACUGGCUCGCGCAAGUUCUCCUGAGUGAGGCUCCAUCCCAUGGAGGGUGCAAGGCCCGUACCGUGAGCAGUUGUCACCGAUGUGCUCUGUCAGAGAGUCGCCUUGUUUGCGAGUACAAGGUGAAGUCGGUGGUAAACUCCAUCGAAGGCUAAAUAUGACCACGAGUCCGAUAGCGAACAAGUACCGUGAGGGAAAAUUGAAAAGCACUUUGAAGAGAGAGCGAAACAGUGCGUGAAACCGCUCAGAGGCAAGCAGAUGGGGCCUCGAAGGCAAAGCAUCGAAUUCAGCUGGUUGUUUGUGCCUGUCGGCUGGUACGGGAGAUUGCAAAACUCUGUCUGGCUGUAGCGGGCGCGGCGACUAGUGCACUUUCGGUGCUUGUACGCCACCGCCGUUGAGGAGCGUCCGCCGGGCAGGCGUGUGGAGCCCUAUUCUCUCACGAGCGUAGGUGCUCACUGCUGGCUAUCGUGCGCGUUCGCGUCUCAACCGGUCAUGUCAGCGUGUGCCAGCUUUUGCGUUGGGUUCGGCUGGCUCUGGUCCGGUGUCGUUUGGGAGAUGACGAGCUUGCUCGGCUCACCCGCACCGGAUAGACUCGUGUCGGCUUUCAACGUGGUACAUUGUCGAUUCGGUGGCGAGUAGACGGCUGCCCAUCUAACCCGUCUUGAACACGGGAAC
This 816-nucleotide ribosomal RNA is filed under the name Calohypsibius ornatus. RNAcentral describes it as "partial large subunit ribosomal RNA". It matches the Rfam family "Eukaryotic large subunit ribosomal RNA", at positions 34 to 664 of the family's 3401-position model. Lineage: Eukaryota; Metazoa; Tardigrada; Eutardigrada; Parachela; Calohypsibiidae. The record is from RNAcentral.